Molecule: ribosomal RNA, 700 nt
Filed under: uncultured bacterium
Lineage: Bacteria
Description: bacterial SSU rRNA
Rfam family: Bacterial small subunit ribosomal RNA
Source: RNAcentral
AGUGACGGACGGGUGAGUAACACGUAAGAAUUUGCCUUUAGGAGGGGGACAACAACUGGAAACGGUUGCUAAUACCCCAUAUGCUUUCGAGUGAAAUGGAUUUUUCCGCCUAAAGAGAAGCUUGCGGCUGAUUAGCUUGUUGGUGAGGUAAUGGCUCACCAAGGCGACGAUCAGUAUCUGGUUUGAGAGGAUGAUCAGACACACUGGAACUGAGACACGGUCCAGACUCCUACGGGAGGCAGCAGUGGGGAAUUUUCCGCAAUGGGCGAAAGCCUGACGGAGCAAUCUCGCGUGAGGGAUGACGGCCUAUGGGUUGUAAACCCCUUUUUUCAGGGAGGAACAAAAUGACGUGUACCUGAAGAAUAAGCAUCGGCUAACUCCGUGCCAGCAGCCGCGGUAAGACGGAGGAUGCAAGUGUUAUCCGGAAUCACUGGGCGUAGAGCGUCUGUAGGUGGUUUAAUAAGUCAACUGUUAAAUCUUGAAGCUCAACUUCAAAAUCGCAGUCGAAACUAUUAGACUAGAGUAUAGUAGGGGUAAAGGGAAUUUCCAGUGGAGCGGUGAAAUGCGUAGAUAUUGGAAAGAACACCGAUGGCGAAGGCACUUUACUGGGCUAUUACUGACACUCAGAGACGAAAGCUAGGGUAGCAAAUGGGAUUAGAUACCCCAGUAGUCCUAGCCGUAAACAAUGGAUACUAGAUGU